Long non-coding RNA from Grus americana (Whooping crane), 3068 nucleotides. RefSeq lists it as uncharacterized. The record is from RefSeq and is a predicted model, not a curated record. Lineage: Eukaryota; Metazoa; Chordata; Aves; Gruiformes; Gruidae. The transcript is spliced from 3 exons.
GGAUGGAUCAUCAAAGCAGAAAAAUUAUUUUUCUACUAAAAAGAAGUCUAUGAUGAAAGCUAUAACAGACAGACAAAGCAGCUGUCAGUCAGAGGCAGCCACAGGCACUGUGGAGAGGACCAAAAUGCAACAGCUGUGGAAGAAUAGUCCAGAGACUCAGCUCGUGAAUAUUGUGUCUGCUUGCUGAAACAAAAAGGAAAAAAAAAAAUAAAAGCAAAAAGGGGGAAAAAACAGUUUGGUACCUGUUUGUUCCACAUAAAUCUCUACAGGAUUAAUCCUCCUCUUUCUCGAGCUACAGUAUUGUGCUGGAGAAAAGUUACAAAAUACUGGAGCUUGUGGGAGCAUCUGAAUUGUUUCCGCAGCCUGUAUGGCAGUUCUUCCAUCCAAGUUACCAUCGCAGCCUAUCACCGAGGCUGGCGUGACUGCGGCUACCACAACAAACACAGCCAGGCUCUGUAUACCCACUUACUGCUUUCCUGGUUGUGAAAAGUGAUUCAAAUCAGUGAUCCUGAUUUUUUCCUUGGCACAGAGGUUCUCUGAGCAACACAGGACGUAACUGCACACAAACCACUUCCACCUUCCCCCAUUUUGGGAGCACGUCUAGAACAAAUGACACGGUAACAGCUUCAAUACGCUUCUGCUAUCCUCCUCUAUCCACGUGCAGCCACUACAAACACUGCUGCUUUAUCCAUACCCUAAACACUCCAUCAGCAACCUGCUGCUCUGGCUGACACAAUUUAAGGCAAAUCUGUGCCCUGGCCGGGAUCCCAACCCCACCCCACAAAAAUGCAGUCGUUCCUGUAGAACCACCUCUCCAGCAGGUGAAGGACAACCGUCUCUUUGCAGAUCUAGUUAGGCUACAUGAAACCUGGAACGCGGACACAGCUGAAGGACCGUUGGGACCAGAGAGAUUCCCGGCUGCUCUCUCACACUGAGUGCAGCAGUCCAUGGCCAGCUACGCCUUUAAAGUAUACUUUCAGCACACUCCUGGAUGCCACUCCAGCUUGACAAAUAUCACAAGGAGUUUGCUCGGCAGAUGAACAGGAACACCAGUAAAAAUUGAGUAGAGGAUGGUGUUGGAGAAAAGACAAACAGAUAUGCAAGUAAAGGCACCCUGCCGCAACUCGGAGGCUUACGGCUCUGCUUCCACAUUAUGGAAGAAAUCUGUUUGGCUAUAUACAUAAAGAAGAUGUAUAAGUAAAUAAAUAAGGAUAAGGGUGGGCUGCUGGAAAGUAGCUAGGCUGUAGCCCCUUCAGUAUUUUGGAGGUUGCUUAGCAACAGGCUGGCUGCUGCAGGGCUAAAGUAGCAUGAAAUUAGCAGCUUUUCAGCAAAAACCAAAUGGAACGGGAAACUGGGGAGGUGGCCGUUGAUGGCAGCAAGAAGAAAAGCAUUAACUGCUCUCGAUGCCAUCGCUGCAUUCACUUAAGGAAUUUGUUCCCUGUGAAUCCUUCGAGCAACUGAAGCUCAACCGCACAGAUCCACUUGUUCUGGCCAAAUGAUUCCUCUAAAUCAUAUUGCUUCUCCAGCCUUCUGGAACAACCCCACGUGGACACGGAGAAUCACGAUACAGACAGCUACUAUUAGGGAGAACUGAGUAAUGAGAACAGCAGGAACAUGCGUAUGCAUUUCAUGGAAGACUUAAGCGGGAGUUUUGAAUGAAAGAUUUUUCUGGGUCACUUAAUCUGGGGCCAGAUUGUACCACUUAAUUGUUUUCCACUGCUAAAUGUGCAUGAAGCUGGUCCCUGGCAGCAAGACACAACCAGGGACCUGUAUGGCAGAGGAUCCACAGGAAGGUGGUGCAGGGCGGUGGUGGGGUCAGGAGGGACGCUAAGACGCUUGGGCAGGCAUUAAACCGGAGGAGGAAAGGGAAAACACAGUGGCCCUUUCCUCUGCUUUUUACACAUACGCAGAACAGCUUCACAGGGUAGCUUUUAUUUGUGUGGCACUUCAGAAACAGCGUAAGACCUACCUCGGGGCCUGUGUGUGACCCAUAUUCGCUUGGAGCAGGGAAACUUCUGACCUGCAUUUCAUCCUCCUCAGUGCCCCACCACAGCACCUAACCGUUCCUGUGACUGGGGUGGAGUGCCAACAAGCCAUCGCCAGUUCCGUAGGCAGUAAGUUACAGACUGUAGAGCAGUUUUCAGCCUUUAACAUUUUCAGACUGAUUUCUGGGGGUCCUUGGGGGCCGCAUAGAGACGCCUUUGGCAAUGUAUUGUUUUCCUAUUUGUGUGGGGUUGAAAAGGCGGCAGCCGAGCGGCUGGUGAAACUGGUACUGCUCCCUGAAUUGAGCAAAAUGAGUGACUGAAGGGAGAUAGUCUUGGUUUAGGUCACCAGAACCAAAGAAGUAAAAAGGAAUUUUAUUCUCCACUUUCCUAAGCGAGUCCUUGCAGGUGUGCAUCCCAGGAUUUGAUCUCCCCAAGGAGAUUAAAAAAUACUGCCACAUUAAUGCAAAUAUACUGGUUACCAGGCAUACAGCAACUGGCUCACAUCACUCUCCACCACACAGGAUUUUAUUUAAAAAGUUAACUAUUACCCAAUACUGCAUAAUUUCCAGGGCUUAGCCCUAUUUUAUGGGGAAGUGGUAUUGCUUACAGGGCUAGCAGCUGUGUGCAUCGCCUGUUGAAGCUGGCUAACUCGUGUACGCCAGGUUCGGUGUAAAACAGAUGGGCUGCAGGGUCCUUCGCCCUGCUACCGAUACCAGCACCCCGGGUUGGAAAGGGAAGGUACACAGGGAUGAGGACAGAGGCAAUUCCUUCCUUCCACAGGAUGGACAGAUGAGGCAGCUGCUCAGCCGUGGCACGAACCGAGCACAGAAGUAGAGCCAGGGGAGAUCAGAAGUACUGGAAAUGACCAGGGAGAAGAGAUUUAAUAAGUGAAGGCACAGACAAGCCUGAAUCUUGCGUUCUGAUCGCGUAUUAAGAGCAGAAAAGAAGUGGGAAGAGCAAAUAGCAUCAGCAAUGCUUAGGAGUUGGAAAGAGAAGAUGUAUUAAAACACAUACUUAUUUCUCUUGCAAUGUCACUCUCUGUCAACUGCCAUGGUUUCCAGACUUUCAGAAUUGAAUUAUAUU